CCUACGGGAGGCAGCAGUGAGGAAUAUUGGUCAAUGGCCGGAAGGCUGAACCAGCCAAGCCGCGUGAAGGACGAAGGUGCCAAGCAUUUUAAACUUCUUUUGUCAAGGGACAAAAUCAGGCUCGAGAGCCUGACCGAGGGUACUUGAAGAAAAAGCAUCGGCUAACUCCGUGCCAGCAGCCGCGGUAAUACGGAGGAUGCGAGCGUUGUCCGGAUUUAUUGGGUUUAAAGGGUGCGUAGGCGGGCUGUUAAGUCAGCGGUAAAAGCCCGGGGCUCAACCCCGGCGAGCCGUGGAAACUGGCUGUCUUGAGAUGUCGAGAGGUAUGCGGAAUGCGCAGUGUAGCGGUGAAAUGCUUAGAUAUUGCGCAGAACUCCGAUUGCGAAGGCAGCAUACCGGCGGCGAUCUGACGCUGAGGCACGAAAGCGUGGGUAUCGAACAGGAUUAGAUACCCCUGUAGUC
Molecule: ribosomal RNA, 459 nt
Filed under: uncultured bacterium
Lineage: Bacteria
Description: partial 16S ribosomal RNA
Rfam family: Bacterial small subunit ribosomal RNA
Source: RNAcentral